This 387-nucleotide ribosomal RNA is filed under the name uncultured bacterium. RNAcentral's name for it is "bacterial SSU rRNA". It matches the Rfam family "Bacterial small subunit ribosomal RNA", at positions 28 to 417 of the family's 1533-position model. The record is from RNAcentral.
GACGAACGCUGGCGGCGUGCUUAACACAUGCAAGUCGAGCGGUAAGGCCCUUUCGGGGGUACGACGAGCGGCGAACGGGUGAGUAACACGUGGGUGACCUGCCCUCAGCUCUGGGAUAAGCCUGGGAAACUGGGUCUAAUACUGGAUAUGACUCCACGGUGCAUGUCGUGGGGUGGAAAGCCUUGUGCGGCUGAGGAUGGGCCCGCGGCCUAUCAGCUUGUUGGUGGGGUGAGGCCUACCAAGGCGACGACGGGUAGCCGGCCUGAGAGGGCGACCGGCCACACUGGGACUGAGACACGGCCCAGACUCCUACGGGAGGCAGCAGUGGGGAAUCUUGCGCAAUGGGCGAAAGCCUGACGCAGCGACGCCGCGUGGGGAUGACGGCCU